UUGCUCACUUUUUCCGUGUAUAAAGAGCAUAGCAGACGCGAUACUUUUAGUAUCAGCGAUCGGCGAUUUAGUUGAUUUUCGGAAGCUCAAUGCCGCGUUUGCACACUCCACUCCG
Long non-coding RNA from Maniola jurtina (meadow brown), 115 nucleotides. RefSeq lists it as uncharacterized. The transcript is spliced from 3 exons. Lineage: Eukaryota; Metazoa; Arthropoda; Insecta; Lepidoptera; Nymphalidae. The record is from RefSeq and is a predicted model, not a curated record.